RNAcentral lists this ribosomal RNA (491 nucleotides) under Rhinella crucifer (striped toad). RNAcentral describes it as "partial small subunit ribosomal RNA". It matches the Rfam family "Bacterial small subunit ribosomal RNA", at positions 794 to 1522 of the family's 1533-position model. The record is from RNAcentral. Lineage: Eukaryota; Metazoa; Chordata; Amphibia; Anura; Bufonidae.
GCCCAGCCGUAAACUUUAACUUACAUUCAAAUCGCCAGGGAACUACGAGCUAAGCUUAAAACCCAAAGGACUUGACGGUACCCCAUAUCCCCCUAGAGGAGCCUGUUCUAUAAUCGAUAAUCCACGUUUAACCUCACCAUUUUUAGUUAAUCAGCCUGUAUACCUCCGUCGUCAGCUUACCACGUGAGCGCCAAUUAGUGAGCUUAAUGUCUUUCACCAACACGUCAGGUCAAGGUGCAGCAAAUGAAAUGGGAAGAGAUGGGCUACACUUUCUAUAUUAGAAAAAACGAAAAACUACUUAUGAAAACUAGUUGGAAGGCGGAUUUAGCAGUAAAAAGGAAUCAGAAUGUCCAUUUUAACCCGGCACUGGGGUGUGUACACACCGCCCGUCACCCUCUUCAAAGCUUAUUAACCUAGUUCUUAACAAACUAAAGCAUAACAGAAUAGGCAAGUCGUAACAUGGUAAGUAUACCGGAAGGUGUGCUUGGAAA